This is a long non-coding RNA of Gasterosteus aculeatus aculeatus (three-spined stickleback), 1840 nucleotides long. NCBI's taxonomy places the organism in Eukaryota, Metazoa, Chordata, Actinopteri, Perciformes, Gasterosteidae. The record is from Ensembl.
UAGAGAAAGUGGUACAUAAACCACUAAUUGACUAAAAUCAUAUCUUGUCUGACCAGGGCCCUGUUGAUGAAAUGUCCCAUUAUCCAGCUCAAAUUAACGAGAUGAUUGACAUCUGGCUAUCUCAGUUCCUCAAAGGCUGAUCCGCGCUAACUAAUCAAGCCGGCUCAAAUGAACCUGCGCUGGAGCAGGUUGAAGUUUUUCGAUGUGUUGCUAUGGUGAUUUAGCCAAACCUGCUUCGGGGAACCCAAAAGCCUAAUCUACGGGCUCUUAUCCUGAAAAUUAUCCGGUAAUUCAGUUAGCCGCGUACAAGCAACAUGAAGAAAGUUAUCAACCUAUUCUGACCAGGGCAUCUCGACUACAAGGCCAUCAGACAUCCAGGCAACCUGAAAUCUGUAUCUUUUCUUUCAACCAAGCUAGUCUGCUAAAUGUGUUUAUUCUAGUGUUUUAAGUUAAUUUGAUUGCUUUAGCUCUUGCCGUUUUUACUGCCAGUUCUCUCUGUUUGAAGUUAACUUGAUUGCUAGUUUGCUCUAGCUCUUGCCGUUUCUUUUGUGCCAGUUGUUGUUGUUGUUGUAGACUCUGCUAUUAAGUUAACUGCUAGUGUGCUCUCCUAACUUUGCUAGGUUUGACCCGAUCUAACUCUGUUUUGACUUCCACUAACGAGGGAGUAUUUAACUAGAGGUUGAGUGAAGCGUUAGCUUCAGCGUUUGCAUAGCCUCGCCGUAUGAAGACGAGCUGAAGUAAGGCUAGGGAGUCUUUUGUGGGAGUCAAGACGAGCUGAACAAAGACUAGGGAGUCUUUCGUGGGAGUCAAGACGAGCUGAACAAUGACGAGGGAGUCUUUCGUGGGAGUCAAGACGAGCUGAACAAUGACGAGGGAGUCUUUCGUGGGAGUCAAGAGGAGCUGAACAAAGGCUUUGGGGCGGCUGAAUCUUUUCAGGAGCCACAAAAUCCUGAAAAUCAAAGGCCACAAGAUUCACCUCCAGCUGUCCAGGUACCUCCAAUAAAAUCCAAUUCAUGGACCCUGCUAAGGCCACAAAAUAAUGGGAGCUGCCACGAGACGCCUGCAUCAAGAGUUGGUGACACUGUCCAGUUCCCCCAGAAACAAGGACAUUCAUUCACCCGAAGGCCACAAGACAGUUCACAAAGUGGCAUCUGCAGCAAGACACUUGCAAGAGUCGACUCCUCAGCCUGUGCCAUCCUGGAGUUAUGAGGCCCUAUUUGAAACUACAACCUCAUUAAUGCGGGACAUGCUCACCAAGCAGGAGAUGAUUCUCGAGCAGCAAACGCACAUCCUAAAAAUUCUACAUGCCAGAAAACUCUCAAUUUGAAAUGGAUGAGGGUCUCCUGCCAGUAAGGGACCAGCAUGGCCUCAAAUCUUGAAAGCCAACUUCAGGAAUCUGACUUUCAAUCAAAACUGGCGUAUGAGAGAAUGAGGGUUUUUUUCUGACAAGAGGCACACAUAUACAUAAUCUUUUCUUUCUUUAGAUAAACCACCUCAGCCUGAUCGGCGGAAGUGGAUGUAAAGGAUACAGUGUGGCGGCCAAUGACAAUAUCAAACACCGUCGCACGGAGACCAAUUGGAGAGGAGUAAAUGGGAAAAUAUUCAUGGCUUCCCUACAACUGAAGAAGGCUGUAAUCGCUGCUGUAAGAAAGAACCCACUGACUUCGAGGGCUUCUGAACGUGAGGUGGAAAUGUUUAUGAAGAGCUGGCUACGGCUGCAGCGGAUCGAGAAGGGGGCAGAAGACGGCGAGCCAAAGUCCUUGUAGCUCCAUGAACAACGUUGAUUAAUGCAAUAAAAUAUUACAAAUUCGAGAGUGUAAAAUAUAUUAUAAUAGACUGC